GUGGGGAAUAUUGGACAAUGGGGGGAACCCUGAUCCAGCCAUGCCGCGUGUGUGAAGAAGGCCUUUUGGUUGUAAAGCACUUUAAGCGAGGAGGAGGCUACCGAGAUUAAUACUUUUGGAUAGUGGACGUUACUCGCAGAAUAAGCACCGGCUAACUCUGUGCCAGCAGCCGCGGUAAUACAGAGGGUGCAAGCGUUAAUCGGAUUUACUGGGCGUAAAGCGCGCGUAGGUGGCCAAUUAAGUCAAAUGUGAAAUCCCCGAGCUUAACUUGGGAAUUGCAUUCGAUACUGGUUGGCUAGAGUAUGGGAGAGGAUGGUAGAAUUCCAGGUGUAGCGGUGAAAUGCGUAGAGAUCUGGAGGAAUACCGAUGGCGAAGGCAGCCAUCUGGCCUAAUACUGACACUGAGGUGCGAAAGCAUGGGGAGCAAACAGGAUUAGAAACCCUAGUAGUCC
This 451-nucleotide ribosomal RNA is filed under the name uncultured bacterium. RNAcentral's name for it is "partial 16S ribosomal RNA". It matches the Rfam family "Bacterial small subunit ribosomal RNA", at positions 354 to 796 of the family's 1533-position model. The record is from RNAcentral.